GACGAACGCUGGCGGCGUGCUUAACACAUGCCAGUCGAACGGAAAGGCCCUGCUUGCAGGGUACUCGAGUGGCGAACGGGUGAGUAACACGUGGGUGCUCUGCCCUGCACUUCGGGAUAAGCCUGGGAAACUGGGUCUAAUACCGGAUAGGAGCCAUUUUUAAUGUGAUGGUUGGAAAGUUUUUUCGGUGUAGGAUGAGCUCGCGGCCUAUCAGCUUGUUGGUGGGGUAAUGGCCUACCAAGGCGGCGACGGGUAGCCGGCCUGAGAGGGUGGACGGCCACCUUGGGACUGAGAUGCGGCCCAGACUCCUACGGGAGGCAGCAGUGGGGAAUAUUGCACAAUGGGCGCAAGCCUGAUGCAGCGACGCCGCGUGGGGGAUGACGGCCUUGGGGUUGUAGACUCCUAUCGCUAGGGACGAAGCUUUUUGUGACGGUACCUAGAGAAGAAGCACCGGCUAACUACGUG
Molecule: ribosomal RNA, 465 nt
Filed under: uncultured bacterium
Lineage: Bacteria
Description: partial 16S ribosomal RNA
Rfam family: Bacterial small subunit ribosomal RNA
Source: RNAcentral